UGCCCAAAAUAAAAAAGGCAUCCCUUCAAUAUUUCGCAUGGAGUUCCUUCCAAGAGAAGGACUCCCCCUAAAUCUUCCAUGCUCACAAGUCUCUAGGCAUCAUCAUAUGGUGCAUAAAAUAAGGGACAAGUGGAAUAUGUAAUGAAAUUAAGAAGAGUAUUAAAGAUGGACUCUCCUUUUCUUAACACAAAAUAAAUGGGGCCUGC
RNAcentral lists this long non-coding RNA (206 nucleotides) under Elaeis guineensis (African oil palm). RNAcentral's name for it is "long non-coding RNA (EGUI_LNC075617)". The record is from RNAcentral. Lineage: Eukaryota; Viridiplantae; Streptophyta; Magnoliopsida; Arecales; Arecaceae.